AGCAGAGCAUUUUGUUCGGCACACGCCAUCGCCGCAAAGCUGAAGCUAGCUCAAGCUUGAGUAAAAUAGGCUAGCUACUAUUUGCUAAGUACAAACGAUUUUAUAGAUCGCCUCUUGCGAAGGUGACUUGGAUAUAUUCUAGCAUUAAAAUUUAAUAGUAUCUGCAGCAGAUUUCUUCACGCACCCCCCCAUCCGUUCUCCUUUCUGUAUGGGCAGUGCUUAUAUGGAGAUCCGUUUACUGAAAAGUGGGAGGAGAUUGACAGACAAAAUCUCUCGUCUGUUUUUUUUUUCCUUGAGAGCGAAGCUUCAGCACAAAGGAAGCAGCUGGGUAUUUGACCAGAGAAUAUACGCUUGGUGGUUGCCUCUUCUUCUAAUGUGUCAAGACUUGCCAAAAAUCAGGAUUUACCUUGGCUUCUCCAGUUUUAUCACAUAAAGAUGGGCAGAUUUGAAUUGAAUAUGAUGCACCAUGAAGACCGGUAUUUCAGCAAGCUUUUAAACAUCAUCAUGUCAAUACUCUUCUAUGAUGGAUGAACAUAAGCUGCAGAAUAUUUUGAAAGUAGGAGUUUCAGAAGGUAUGGGGUGGGAUUUGACUUUUAAAAAUAAUUUUCAAAUCAUAACUCAUUAAAGCACUCUGUUGUGUACUAUAUUUGCAGAGAGAGUGAUUUUUUUUCUCCAUUAAGUUACUUAGCUUGACAAAUAUUGCUUAAGACCUUUAUAGGGAAAACUUCAAUGCCUAAAAUUUUGUAAACAAAUUUUAAACUGCUUUCUUGUAAGUCAAGUAAACAAAGACUUGGCAGAAAAUUUGCUUUUAUCUUCAGUUGUAACCAUGGAAAUCAAGUACAAGGUACUGUGAUAAAAUUGUUGUUUGAAGUUGUAGAAAAAUGAUUUUAUUCAAUGGAGAGUUUAAAGGUAUAUUUAAAUGGAAAGUAAAAUACAUAAUUGUGAUACUGAAAGUAGUGUAUAUUUUUAUGUAUUUAAGAUGAAGAUAAUGAGGCCUCCAACAAGAUGUGCAAAAGCAUUGACAAUGAACUCCAAGCACUGGUAAGAUUGCAUAUACAGAGCUGCAAGAAGGUCCUGGCAUUUUUCCAUACACAACCUUCAGAGAAGACAGUAGGUGUGCAUCCAGCAUUGUUUCUAUUAUUCAGUGCAGGCAUUUAUGUCUUGCUUUGACAUAUACAUGUCACACUGUAGCUUCCCAAGGGCAACUUUGGUCAUAGCCCUUCUCUUGUAAUGAGCAAUUCUACAAGUAUCUUUACAACUUACCUGGGAUCCCAUAAAAUGUUAUAAAUAUGUCACUAAACUGCAGUUUUGAUAUGGAGACAUCCUUAAAGAUUAGUAACAAGAAAUUAAAAUAGAGACUAAAUCCACGUAUUGGCACAGUAAAAGCAAGGCAGAUAUUAAUUAGCCUGCAUAUUAGAGGCAUAUUUAAUCAAUUGUCAUUGAAAACCAAAGUAAUGUAAAAUUAAAUAAUAAUUUUCAUAAAGGACAUCUUGUGUGAAAAAAAAUUAUGAAACUCUUCAAAAUGAAGAUCUUUUCUCAAGUGAUAUUACUUUUUAAUCAAACAGAUACAAACCGAAAUUUCUUUUUUCGAUAAGGAACUAUAUUACCCAUAAUGCACGUUUUAAAGUAACAAAUUAGAUGUAUAUAUUAACAAACAUAUCAUAACCACUCCCCUCCACAUAUGGGAUUAUCUGCCUAGUGGGCAGAACAUCAUACUGAAACCAUUUCAGGACACUGCCUUCAAUAACUAGAAGCAGCUGCAUGCAUUUCGUUUUUUGCUGCGUUGGUUGCUUUGUGUUUUUUCCUCUUCCAGCUUCUCUUAUGUGACCUGAAUCAGUUAUACAACUUAGAGUGAUAAAACUACACCAGAAAAGAUGAUGUUCUUAGGAAUCAUUGGCUGCAAGAGAUAAAAGAUUUUUCUGUUUCCAGACUUUGCAAACCUGUCAUCUUCCAGCUGUCACAACUGUGCUCUGGGAAGAGGUUUCCCUGGACUACCAUCUCAAAUCAAUGAGUAUCUACAUGCAAAAGACAUCAGAUUCUGUUACUUUGUGUCUACAAUGCAUCCCUCACAACUUGCUCUCGAGAGAUGUAUUUUCUUUUUAAAAACCUAUACAGAUACAUGCUUUUAAAUGUGAUUUCAAAUGACUAAUAUCUAUUUCAGGUCAACACGUGUGAAAAUAAGAGAUUGUAAUAAUUCAGCCAAUACUAAAACAAAGGCAACCCUUAGAAUCAGGGGCCUGAUGACAGCCUACUCAAGUUAUUAUCUGUUUGUUAUCGCCAGUUAAUUUGCUAGGUCUAUGUAAAUUCAAUAUCAGUUUCAUCGUUUGCUUAAGAAAUGCAAAUUAGAAUUCUAGAAAAGUUGAUUUUCAUAAAAAAAUAUAGUGGUCACAAAAUUCCAGGCAUUUACUUAGUUAUCAAAUACAAUUCUGCAGUUAAAUCCUUGUAACAGAAAAAAAUGGUAUAUAUUUUUAUAAGUUUUGGUACUUAUUUGCCUUUAAAAGGUUAACAUAGUUAAUAGGAGGAACCACUGUGAACCCUGAUGCACUCAUAUUCCAAUGGAUAAUGAGCUUUAUGAGGAAGUUGUAUCCGCAUUGUUCCAGUAAACAAUGCUUAUUAACAUAUUUAGGGCAUAUUGUUUUAAAUAAUCUAUAAACAGAGCAAGGUGGAGCAAAAAGAAAAUGUUAAGAGAUUGCAUGGAGAUACAAAUAGAUCCAUAUGCAUGGAGCAGCAUUCAAGGGAUUGCAGUGUUCUCUAAUGUGGCUAUAAGCAUGCAAGCCAUGACAUACUGUAACAUGUUAUGUACUCCAAUUACCGCCCUAACAAUUUACAGUUCUCAAAUAAUGACUUUAUGUUUAACAUCAGACUUUAGAAUAUGAUACAUUUAAAAGGAAAAAGCAUCAAUGCUCACAAUUCUGUAGUAGGCAGGAAGGUUCUGAUAAUUUGAUCUGCUGUUAGGCUGAAAAUGAUCUGCAGAUGUUGUGUUUGAGCAGAUUAUCUAGCAAAAGGCAAUUUACUUUGUGGGGAUAAUUAGCAGCCAAAAGUCAGAAUGCAUAUUUGAUUCUGAAAUAGGCUUAUUGCACAACUUUUAUGCUUAAGAGACAAUUAAGCUAAUUGAUUUUACAAUGUAAUAUGCUCUUGUUUAUUUGUUUAUUAUUUUGGUCUUCAUUUACUCUAUUACUCAACUAUACAACCCAAUCAUUCCCUUUAAGAGUGAUAAAACAGCUAUUUAUAGAUAUUCAUUAUAAAGGAGAGACUUGAAUUUGUAAUGUUUAUAUUACAAAUAGAUAAAGGCUUAUCAACAGUUUUUUUUAUUGCUUUUACCAUUCUACAUAAAUCACCACAUCACCUCCCUCCCAUCACACUACCACCCCUCCUACUGGCCUAGCUCCCUCCUGGUAAUUUAGUUUAAGUUUUAUUGGCCAAGACUACAAUUCUCACAAUGCGUUGUAUAUUUUGUGAAUCUCCUUUUUUACAGAACUGUUGAUCACAGAUAUAUGCAAGGCACUGUGGUAUCUGGAGUCUUGGCUGGAGGAGAGUUUACCACUGUUAAAUUAUUUUAAUGGCACAUGUGGUCAGAACUGAUGCAGGGCAAUGUGCCGGGAACUGCAAGUUGAAGACAGAUUCUGCUUAAAAUAGCAAUUACACUUACAAAUAACUAGCCCGUUCUGUUUGAUGAAUGAAUCUCACAUCACUUUGGUAAAAGGCCUAUUUGAUCUAACCUGCAGCUUGACCACUUUAGAGCUCGCUCAAUGGCUUGUGUUUGUGCUCCACUUGCAUGUCUUGCAAAUUACCUUUUGAACAUUUGUGGAAAGCUUUAACAGCAAGAGUCUAUAAAUGCAUGCACUGGAAGGAAAUUAGAGCAUUAAGCCCAGGUGAGAGAAACUGUUAAAGACUCAUUUAGACUCCAGGAAGACAGAUCACAAAAGCACUGUUUAUUUGUUUCACUUUUUUUAUAGCCAGUAACUGAGACUUGUUUUAUAUUGCCAUACGCUGGUAAUUAUCUUCCGGUUCAAAGAGGGUAUAAGAAAUGAGUACUGCUCAUGCUGUGAGUGGAACUAUCAAGUCAGAUAAAAUAUGUGAUUGGUUUACUGAGCAACUACAAUGGUUUGUACUUUAAACUCAUCAUUUUGUAGAUAUCUACUCUGUCAAAGAUUUUGCAAUGGUGCUGCUGUGCAAAUGAGACUCAGGGGUCACAUUUAAAUAGGAGCUGCAGUUAUAUCAGGGUUGUGCUCUUCUGCACUAUAAACUCUUCAUUUAGUUAAAGUAUAUCAUUAUUUAAUCUGCAAAAACUAUAAUCACCGGCAGGAUUAGGAUUGUAUAUGACUUAUUUCUUAAACAUAAUUUCCACUCAAGCUGCUAUGCAGUCUUUCUUAUAGCUGACAUACAAAAUACAUAGCUCCUAAAAUGUAGAUUCCUAGAUGUUUUUAUUUCAGAAAUGCUAUACAUUAUAUUAAUUAUGCAUGCAAUCUUUUGCUUCAGCAGUAAAAAUACCAAGAUGUGGAAUACAAUAAAAUGAAAUACAGCCUGGGUCUGGGGAAAUUCAUCAUGGCUGUAAUUUAGUAGAACCUUAAUAUCAUAUAAACUAUUUCCAUUCUCUGGAUCUGUUUCCAUUAUAAUUGUACUGUUACAAAAUAAUCUAGAGAUCUAUGGCACUGAACUAAAAUGAGCCCUACAUCCAGCAGGGGUACUAUUUGCGGUUACAACCCAUCUAAUAUCAUAUCACCCUCAUACAUUUACUAAAACUGUGCCAAGAGAUUUACAGUAAAUGAGAAUAAGGGAUGAUGGGACCAAGUACAUUACCCCUCUCACCUCCCUUAAAAAAAUAUAACUAAAAGCCUAAAAGAAUGUUUCUAGUGAGGAGAAGCUGAUGGAGUAGAUAUUUUUAUUUAGUUAUAUGUUGCUUAGAAAUCUUACAUAACAGAACUAAGAAGCCCUUACAAAAUGAGAUUGGAUACAGAAGAUCUAAGGAAAAAAUGUUUGUUUCGCUGUUCAUAUACUUGUGUUAAAUAAUCAAUUUAUGUGUGCAUCCGCGUCGUAUUAUUGGUAAAAUGCAUGUAUAUUAACAUACUAACCACUGAAGACACACAGUAAAUACAACCACUGAGUCUACAGCUUUGAUUAAAUUUAACUAACACCACUUACAAAUAACUAACCAACUAACCAGGAACUAAAGCAUGCUCUACUAACCCCACUUUCUACUAACCAUGCAGAGAAACAGCAAACAUUUGAUUACUGACUCUGCUUAACUCUCUUCUUGCUACUAACGUGUAAUCAGCGAAACAACUAACUUGGACUGCUUGUUUUGUUUCUUUUCUUUCUGUUUUGUUGGUGUGGUACAAUGAAGUGUGAAAACUCAGAGGAAAAGAUGGGGAGUCUGCAAUGCUGAAUUACUAACACUUGUACUAAUUCAUGCACUAACUCUUCUAAACAUACUAAUCAUAGUGGAAUGUGCCAAAAUAAUUAAUCCUGAUGCUGUUCACAAUGACAAAUGGACUUGGGAUCUACAGGCUAGGCUAAAUGUUGGGUUGCCGUAAUGCUGCUUGCCAAAAUUACUUUAUAGAGGUUUUCUGUUUUCAUGGGGCUAAGUAUCAAGCAUACAUUUAUGAAAGUUUUUAUUGCCAACAUAUUCAGAUCACUUAUGGAUUUUAUCUACUGUGCACACCCCCCAUAUUUCUAUUAUAUUCAUAACUGUAUCUGUGCCUGUUUUAUAGAAACCAUUUCCAAGGUACUUUGUGCACUUUAAAUGGACUUUUAAGUAAAGCUUGUAAAUGUAGGAAAGUAUAAAAUGGACAAAUGCAGUUUAAAUGCCUGGCAAAAUGCAUUUAAAUGCAUGAAGCCUAAGAAGUAUGUUUUAGAUGCAUAUAAAAAUACAGAUCAUAAACACUGUAAGUACUUUUCCAUGCAAUCAUCCUUGUCUUUUUAACUGUUUUUAAUAUCCUACACAGACCACUUUUGAUGAAGCAAUCAUUUAUUAGACCCCCACUGAGAGUUAUUUCAGAAUAAUGAGCGAAGUAGCUCCAGGAAUCAACAGUUUGCAUAUUUCAGAAUUUUAAAUGUAUACUUUUUAUUGUAGAUUAAUCAUAUUGUAAUGGAUUAAUUCAUAAUGCAGAUAAUUAUACACAAAUAUUAAAGCCACAAAUGUUUAUGGCAGCAUGUGAACAUAACUAUGAAUACAUGCUUGCAAUUAGCUUGUAUUGAUGUUUUUGCUUGAACAAGGAAGAUUACAACAUGAGGUAUAUCUUAAGUUAAGUGCACAAAAGUUUACUGGGAAUGAAAUUUUUUUUUCAUAUUGAAAUCUGAUCUUUACUCCAUUUAAAUACGAGUUUGACUGUCCAAUUGACAUAUAGUAUUCGAAGAGCUUGAUACAUAGCCUCUGCCCUUUUCUAUACAGUUGCAAUGUAGCAGUGGUUGUUACUAACAUUUCCGCUGUGUCCUACGGGAGAUCUCAUGUGAUCUAUAACCCAGUGUCCAGCAAUAAAAUGGGCAAUGGUUAGCAAUAAUGGCCACUACUUCUGUAAGAGAUAAAUAAUAAUAUAUAAUCUUCUUUAACACUUAUGUUUUCAAGUAUGGUCAGACUGAUUCUGAUUGAAGCAUUUUAUCUUUAGUCGUACACAAAGUCUUUCCUCUGACUGCUAAAAAUAUUCAGUGAUUAGAUCAGCUUGCCAUGAUGUUCAACUGUCUUGUGAAAGUAUUUCGCCUUAGUGAAAUGGAUAUCUAAUUCUUAAAGUGCGCUUUCUAUCUCUUUGUGGAGCUGAUGUUUUUCUUUUGACCACUGUAAAAUCUUGCAUGUUCUUUAGGCUUCGAUUCUCAGUGCAUGCACAAGCAUCAGUUGUCAGCGUUCGUGAUAAUCUUUAAAUCUUUGGCUGCCAGAGAAGUCCCAAACACAGUGCCAUGCAAAGUGUUUGUUGAUAUCUCUGUGAUUUGAGUUGAAUAGUACUGGCCCACUGUGACAAUAAUACUAACACCAAAUGCACGCAUAAGACUUUAUAGAAAGCGUUCUUUCAAACGGAUAAAUAAAUAAUAACGAAUCACUAAUAUCUACUAACUACAAAAGCAUGCUGAAGGCUCCAUGGAGUACCUUUAACCCCUAACCUGCUGGAUUCUCUUAGAUCUUGCGUGCUACAUCUUGCAAGGCAACAUGCAGCAUGGCAUAGACCAAAGAGCAACCCACAAAUGUAAAAUUUAUGGUGUUGGAAGUCAGGUUCUUGAAAGCCAACACACUGGAUUUUACUAUCUACUGCAGGCAAGUGGUUAAAGUACUGAACACUAACAUUAAUUUAACCCUAAGCAUGUCACCUGGAUUUCUAUUUACCUUUCUUAAUCUUAUAAUAUCCCUACUAGCUGAGUUCAGAUUUACAUUGUUUUCACCCAGUAACUACAUUUGGUUGAAAUUAAUAGAGAAUGGAGCUUUUUGGACAAGAUAAUGUAAUAUACAUUUAAGCACAAUUCAAAAACUUGUCAUACUACAGCUCAAGCCAUCACAACUUCAUAACUGCCUUAGUAAUGGGGUUAGUUGUUCUAGUACUAGUUCUAGUAUUUGUUUUAGAAAGCCACCUCUAACCACUGAGAUUGUCUGUUUAAGUAAUUCAUCCUUUCUUGAAGGCAGAAAGGGAUACUCUCAUUAAAGAUAUCUUACUGAGAAAGAAAUUAAUCAUCACUAUUUACAAGCUUUAAUUGGACAUUAAAAAAGAAAGCAUGGUGCUUGCAAGCCCUAUAUCCAUUUUAGGCUUUUUUUUCAGUUAUGUUUGGAUGUACCCCUAUAAUUCUAAACCCAAUUGCAUGGAAAUACAAAGUUAGAUAACAUCGCUGAUGUGCAUCUCAAACUUCUCUUAUCUGCAUUAACAUUAACCUAGUGCUCUUUAUUUCAUUUGCUUUAUUGAUUCAUUAUAACAAAUGGAAUAGACAUGAGGUUAUCAAUUACAUUUGUGACAAUAAUAUUUUGUCUUGUGCUUAUUGGUGUUAUCUCUCUUUUAUAAUGUUGAAAGUUUUACUAACACAACAGUGCUAAUUACUUAAAUAUGUAUGUUUUAACUACUUUAUUUUUGAGCAGAAUUCUUAGGGGCUUAUCUAUAAAGAUUUGUCAACUACAAAAAAAUUAUGUAAAAGUUGGUGUAAAAUAUAUGACAUAUUUUUAAAGUUU
Long non-coding RNA from Xenopus tropicalis (tropical clawed frog), 8140 nucleotides. RefSeq lists it as uncharacterized. NCBI's taxonomy places the organism in Eukaryota, Metazoa, Chordata, Amphibia, Anura, Pipidae. The transcript is spliced from 7 exons. The record is from RefSeq and is a predicted model, not a curated record.